This is a long non-coding RNA of Hemicordylus capensis (graceful crag lizard), 626 nucleotides long. RefSeq lists it as uncharacterized. The transcript has 2 exons. The record is from RefSeq and is a predicted model, not a curated record. Lineage: Eukaryota; Metazoa; Chordata; Lepidosauria; Squamata; Cordylidae.
CAGUUGUAGCUGAGCUGCCAGAAGGGAAACAGGACUUAAGGAAUGCUGAUUGGUGUGGGCCAAUUCCUGCAGAUUGUCUGUUGUGUAAGAUUGUUAUGUGGCCAAACCUGGGGGAAUGAGCUGUACUAGAGGUUGUGAGUAUUGUGUGGAAUGGAGAACAAGAUCUGUUCAGUUCUAUCAGUCAACACUCUCUUCCAGAAGAUGACCUAUUUAACAUUUCCAGGAAUAGCUAUGCCAAGCUUGUCAAUUGCUUUCUUGGAAAUACACUCAAGAAAAAUGGCUUCAGGCCAACAGCGACAUACAGAAAUCCUGGACUGGAUCACGGCCUAUACUUAGAUAGGGAGAUGGAUGCCUUCACAGCUGCUGUUUCAGGAUUCCGGUCUGUGAGCUUUAUAAGGAGUAAUGCCUUUAUUGGGACAGGGGGAGAGCAACUGGCCGUAUCCAUCCACAACACAGCAUCCCUCCAGUGGCUGUUGCUGGUAUCUAUCUUAUAUUUCUUUUUAAGAUUGUGAGCCCUUUAGGGACAGGGAGCCACUUUAUCUAUUUAUUUUUUAUUUCUCUGUGUAAACUGCUUUGGGAACUUUUGUUGAAAAGUGGUAUAUAAAUAUUCAUUGUAAUAGUGGUAA